GUUUAUUAUCUUUGUCAUAACUAAAUGAACAAAAAUCAAAACAUCAUAAUAUAAGAAAUUAAUAAAAUAAAAAAUAUACUAAAUAACUCUAAAAGGUACAUUUGUAAGACUGAGACAACAGGCGUGUGGACCGUGUGGCGUCACAAUGUCAACGGUAAAUCUCCGGGUAAAUCUAAUUGAUAAUAAUUAUUAUAUUUAGAGAUAUUGGUCGAACUUCGGAAUCACAGCUAGGACGGCCGAUCCGAAUAAUCGUUCUCGACUGCCAACGUCGUGUUGUCGCAAUCAUCGUAAAUCGCAGCCGCUGCGGAGUUAUCCAGACUCGAC
Molecule: long non-coding RNA, 324 nt
Organism: Aphis gossypii (cotton aphid)
Lineage: Eukaryota; Metazoa; Arthropoda; Insecta; Hemiptera; Aphididae
Exons: 3
Source: RefSeq, a predicted model, not a curated record